UACGAGGAGAGCGAGCGUUAUCCGGAUUCAUUGGGCGUAAAGCGUGCGCAAGCGGUUUUACAAGUGAGAUGCUAAAUUCCAAUGCUCAACAUUGGGGGUGCGUUUCAUACUGUAAGACUAGAGUCAAUGAGAGGCAAACGGAAUUCCCGGUGUAGUAGUGAAAUGCGUUGAUAUCGGGAGGAACACCAAAAGCGAAAGCAGUUUGCUGGCAUUGUACUGACGCCGUUGCACGACAGCGUGGGGAGCAAACGGG
Molecule: ribosomal RNA, 253 nt
Filed under: uncultured bacterium
Lineage: Bacteria
Description: partial 16S ribosomal RNA
Rfam family: Bacterial small subunit ribosomal RNA
Source: RNAcentral